CCACACCCUACAACUUCAGAGAGUUCUGCAGC
Molecule: non-coding RNA, 32 nt
Filed under: Mus musculus (house mouse)
Lineage: Eukaryota; Metazoa; Chordata; Mammalia; Rodentia; Muridae
Source: RNAcentral